AGUAAUGUCUGGGAAACUGCCUGAUGGAGGGGGAUAACUACUGGAAACGGUAGCUAAUACCGCAUAACGUCGCAAGGCCAAAGAGGGGGACCUUCGGGCCUCUUGCCAUCAGAUGUGCCCAGAUGGGAUUAGCUAGUAGGUGGGGUAACGGCUCACCUAGGCGACGAUCCCUAGCUGGUCUGAGAGGAUGACCAGCCACACUGGAACUGAGACACGGUCCAGACUCCUACGGGAGGCAGCAUG
RNAcentral lists this ribosomal RNA (243 nucleotides) under uncultured bacterium. RNAcentral describes it as "partial 16S ribosomal RNA". It matches the Rfam family "Bacterial small subunit ribosomal RNA", at positions 109 to 353 of the family's 1533-position model. The record is from RNAcentral.